UCAUAGGAGAGCUGUUCCAGGCCUCUUCAAGGCUUGGACUUGCUUAUCCUCUGGACUUCCUCCAGAAUGUCAACAUCUUUCUUGUGUUCAGGGCCUCAGAGCUGGACACAGAAUUCCAGAUAUGUGUCAGAACGUAAUACACAGUACAAUGCAUAUGACUUGUUAGGAAGAAAAGAAGUUAUAAAGAAAUGUGUGUAUGAGACACUAGAGAGAAAUUUGUCCUGUUUAACAUACCUGCAUUCAGCUUCUUGGCAAAUAUUUCCUUCAGUGUAGAAUCAGCCUGCUUUCAGGAAUAUGAACUAUGUCUGGAUUAGCAGAUGGAACAGCAGCAAAGCACAGGAUUGCAAAUGUCUAAACAGUUUCAUUUUUAGCAUUUUCUUAGCAUGGCUUUGGACAGCAAGCGUUAGCAUCCUCUCAGCUAAGGCCUAGACAUCCUUCAGCAUUUCAUAAGACUGUUUCUAAUAGACAGUUUAGCUGUAGCCACCCUACUUUAGGCCAGUUUACACAUGAAAACAUGAGUCAGCUGUGAGCCUAAGCCUCAAGGCAGUCUCCAGUCUCUUCCAUGUAGAAACAUAUAUAUCACUAUCUGUACAUACACGAUUCAUCCAUGGCAAUGUGGUUUCUCAGUGUUCUGAUCUAUCUUACUCAUAAACCCUACUGGCAGUUGUGAGUUCAGGAAAGAUCUGCCACUCUGUCUUUUAUAGCAGUGAAGCUAAAGGAUGCAAUUCACCAAGAACUAAAAUAUGAAGAAGAAUUGGAGGAAAAGGCACUACCCAUAACACAGAGACACCCCACAAGUCAAAAUGCAAAUCCUCAGCAGCCUCUGUGGGGAAGGCUACUGAGAUGCUGGUGAGACCUCACCAACAACUCACAAAUCUGGGGCAGAAUGAGCAGUAUUAAACAGAACAGGAUUGCAGAGAAACACUGGUUUCAUAUCCCAAAAAGAAAAAAAAAUACUUUCUUCACAAAAUUGAGAUUGCUGCAAUUUUCAUGCAGUUUAGAGGCAUAAAAGUCUCCCCAGAGACAGUCAUUCAUUGUGCACUUCAUACCACCUUGCCGAGCUGAACACUGAUGAAACACUAAUCCAGCAUGUUUCUAAACAGGAAGAACAGGAAGAGUACAUGAGCACUGACCUGUUGCAGAAGAAAUAUUCAGGACCAUGGAAAAGUAUGCUAGAGAGACACAUCACCAGAAAUUCAGCUGAUGAUUCAGCCAUACCAACACAGCUUUAAUUUAACUUCGAGACCAAUGAUAUAACCAGUUCUAGGCAAUGUGCAGAGACAGCUGCAGCUUACUCCCACCACAACCAAGAGGAAGCAAAACAUGAGGGGGAAGAAGUGAGCCAAGUGUUGGUAAUAUGCUAUAAAACACAUUUGAAGCCAGUUGUUUACACAGAAAUUAAACAAACAAACAAACUAAGCUACUAUUACUUGAAAUGUACAAUAGUUGAUGCAAAGGCAGUACCAUUGCCACAAAACAUUACUAAAACCAACCAGCAGUUCAGCUGAAAUGCUGUGUCUGACUGUCCACACCAUGAAAGGUAAAGACAACAGUCCUUUCGUGUCCUCUCUAGCAGCCUAACAGAGAUGUACUGUAAGGAGACCAAUUCUUCCGGCACAUACUGUAGUCAGAUGAAGGCUCUCACAAGAGUUAGUAAGAAACUCAAACUACAGACAUCUCUCAGGUCUGGUGGAGCUGCUGAGGAAGGAAGCGGGAAGAACAGAAAGCCCAGACACCCUCAAACUCAUGGAAAGCAGAGUUGGCAGCUGUGUUUUUUCAUUUUUGCAGUCUUUAGCAUUUUUUAUGAUGGUGGAAAGCCCUCAAAAAUGUCUUGGAUAUUUGGGAAACCUCCCAUCAGGGAACACAGCCCUGUGAAGAAGUCACUGUGUGUUAAUCCCUAAGAUAUACUGCUUGAUUUGUCUGGAACUAAAAAAGUCUCUGCUUGCAAUGUUGAAAGUAGGUUCUGGCAUGCUGAACCACCCAGUCCCUUGCAAUCUGCACUACGUCUUUUGCCAGGUACUGCUGAAGGAAAAAAAAAAAAGCUCCAGACAUCAGCCUGCCCUCAAAGCUAGUGCAGCGAUAACAGAUAAAGACAAAACAGGACUUUCAGACACCAGGCCUGCAGCUGGCAACAAUUAUUGUCUGAGAAGAUAGCAGAGGAUGUCUUUAUUGAGCUUAACAGAGCCAGGAGCAGAGCACUAGUCUAAAUGCAAAGAAGCUGGUUCUCAGGAGAAGAGAAAUCUGCACUGUCAGAAAUCUCUGGGGCCCUGGGAACUUCCAAAUGGUCCUUGAGAAAGACAAAGUACUUAAAGUCAAUGUAAGAAGUUAUAAGAAUAGCCAAGUGCAGCAUCUGCAGUGUAUAAGCAAUAGAUGAAGUUAGAGAGGGAAUGAAGACUAGGUGGUGAGCCAGCCUUGCAGCACCACCUCUGUUCUAAGCAGCAGGGAUUGCAAAAGGUGCCUAAGCCUCAGGAUGAAGUAGAAGAGUGACACUGCACCAAAUCUAGCAAUUCUCAUCUUCUGUUUACACAGCAAAAGAAUGACUUUCUACUGAAACAGAAAUACUAACUAUGCUGCAGAGGACUGCCCCAAAAAUCAUAUCAUAUGCUUGAAGACAUUGUCCAAACACUUCUUGAACUCUGUCAGGCUUGGUGCAGAGAGCAUUACCCUAGGGAACCUGUUCCAGUGCCCAACCACCCUCCAUGUGAAGAACAUUUUAAUAACAUCUAACCUAAACAUUCCCUGACAUGACUUCAGGCCUUUCAGACCCUCAGGUCCUUUCACUGGUCACCACAGAAAAGAGAUCAGUGUCUGCCACUCUGCUUCUCCUGGUGAAGAUGCUGUAGACUGCAAUGUGGAGGUUUGUGAAUUACAAGAGCCGUUCUGUAGGUGUGAGUUACUUGAGCUUCUACCUCUUCCAGGAUGAAGUGGUCACCUGCAUCAAUAAACCUCCAGAGCUAUUUUUGCACCCAGCACGCCUCCUCCCAAGAGGAGAGAGAGCUCCAGCGUCACACCAGUACGGCAUGCCGGUAUGUGCCCAGGCAGGUGGAGG
Long non-coding RNA from Passer domesticus (house sparrow), 3049 nucleotides. RefSeq lists it as uncharacterized. The record is from RefSeq and is a predicted model, not a curated record. Lineage: Eukaryota; Metazoa; Chordata; Aves; Passeriformes; Passeridae. The transcript is spliced from 4 exons.